GUGAACGCUGGCGGUAGGCCUAACACAUGCAAGUCGCACGGCAGCACAGUAAGAGCUUGCUCUUACGGGUGGCGAGUGGCGGACGGGUGAGGAAUACAUCGGAAUCUACUUUUUCGUGGGGGAUAACGUAGGGAAACUUACGCUAAUACCGCAUACGACCUACGGGUGAAAGCAGGGGAUCUUCGGACCUUGCGCGAUUGAAUGAGCCGAUGUCGGAUUAGCUAGUUGGCGGGGUAAAGGCCCACCAAGGCGACGAUCCGUAGCUGGUCUGAGAGGAUGAUCGGCCACACUGGAACUGAGACACGGUCCAGACUCCUACGGGAGGCAGCAGUGGGGAAUAUUGGACAAUGGGCGCAAGCCUGAUCCAGCCAUACCGCGUGGGUGAAGAAGGCCUUCGGGUUGUAAAGCCCUUUUGUUGGGAAAGAAAAGCAGCAGGUUAAUACCCCGCUGUUCUGACGGUACCCAAAGAAUAAGCACCGGCUAACUUCGUG
Molecule: ribosomal RNA, 491 nt
Filed under: uncultured bacterium
Lineage: Bacteria
Description: partial 16S ribosomal RNA
Rfam family: Bacterial small subunit ribosomal RNA
Source: RNAcentral